CCCUUAGAUGUUCUGGGCUGCACGCGCGCUACACUGACGCACGCAACAGGUGCCUGCUCCGAGAGGACUGGGUAAUCAUUUGAGUGUGCGUCGUGAUGGGGAUAGAAUAUUGUAAUUAUUACUCUUCAACGAGGAAUUCCUAGUAAGCGCCAGUCAGCAGCUUGCGCUGAUUACGUCCCUGCCCUUUGUACACACCGCCCGUCGCUCCUACCGAUGGGUGAUCCGGUGAAUGAUUCGGACUUCAGCGGCUCCCCUGGGGUGCGCCGGAGAAAGUUUUGUGAACCUUAUCACUUGGAGGAAGGAGAAGUCGUACA
This 314-nucleotide ribosomal RNA is filed under the name uncultured eukaryote. Its description in RNAcentral is "partial 18S ribosomal RNA". It matches the Rfam family "Eukaryotic small subunit ribosomal RNA", at positions 1470 to 1796 of the family's 1831-position model. The record is from RNAcentral.